RNAcentral lists this long non-coding RNA (3269 nucleotides) under Monodelphis domestica (gray short-tailed opossum). Its description in RNAcentral is "lncRNA (ENSMODG00000034555.2)". The record is from RNAcentral. Lineage: Eukaryota; Metazoa; Chordata; Mammalia; Didelphimorphia; Didelphidae.
GCCUUCUGAAGAACUUUUCUCGGGAACAUAUGACUCAGCAGUUGAAUUCCCUGAGGGACGGAGGCCCCUGAAGUCCUCCCAGCUAUGGUUGGAGUCCACACCUCUGGAACUUGGCACCUGAUCCUGGAAGGGCAGAAGGGGACUCCCGAAGAUGAGAUGAUACGACAUUUGGCCGAGCUGUGGAGACUAUCAUUCAGAAUGAAGCAAGGGAGAGGCCUCAGGGGAAGGAGUGAGCCUGCUGAGACGAGGGUCUCCAAACCCUGAAGCAUCCAAGGUGGGGAUGGGCCACCCAAAAAGUGUGCCCAAGGAGGCAAAGUGUAGGCCCAACUUUUUUUUUUUUAGUCUUGUUUGACCAGCCUUGGCACUGCCCCCCCGGCUCUCCAGGGGAAAACUGCAAUUCUGCUAUUGCAACACAGGGAGCAGACUGGAGAAUUUAGAUCUGCGUCACAGAGCUCAGAGAGAGAGAGAGAGGGAGAGAGAGGGAGAGAGAGAGAGGGAGAGAGCAAGGGAGAGAGAGAGCUCCGUCGAUAGGUCUGUUAGCAACAGCCUUGCUGCCUCAGAGAGAGAGAGAGAGAGAGAGAGAGAGAGAGAGAGAGAGAGAGAGAGAGAGAGAGAGAGAGAGAGAGCGAGCAAGGAACAAGUAAUAUCAACAUUGGGUACUGGGUUCUGCCAGCCCACUUGCGAAGCUUUCAGAGAUGUAUUGGGGACAUCGCAGCCCAUGGGAGCUCAGGCAGAGAAGAUGACACGCAAGGUUGGAUGGAGAGCUGGGACUGCGCAGGAGGCGACAGGCAGUUCUGACGGGUUCCCAGACUUGGUGGUGUGUACCCUCUUCUUCCCCCACUUCCCAUGUGAUGGCCUUCCCUGUACUGCUGCAUCAUUAACCGAGUGGCAGGGCUGGCCCUUCAUUGGCCAGGGGAGGGCUCAGGCUCCAGACGUUUCUUCCCAUUGGUGAGAAGGGUGAUGGCAGGUGAAAAGCUCUUUUGGAUUGGCUGAGGACUGGGUAUCAAAUCUGAAUUUCCAUUUCACUGGAGAAAAAAGGGGGGUAGGUUGGUGAUGAUGGUUGGAGUGUGGGGGUGGGGGGGAGCUGAGCAGUUCUGAUCUCUCAAAGCUCUUCAGGGGUGCGUGUGUGUGCGUGCACGCAACAGUGCCCAGGGGUGCUCUGGGGCUAAAGCUUCUGGGCAUUCGUGGGACUGAUUUACUCCGUGGAUGUGAGACAAGCUCCCAGCUGUACAAACUUUUUUUUAAAAUGGGUUUUGUUUUUUGUUUGGAGGGGGUGAAGAGUUGGAUUUUAGGCAUGAGGGGUGGCAGAAGAGUUGACAGCCUCAGAAGAAAAGCUUCCUGAGCUUAUUUGAUUUCAAAAGAGGGAGUUUCCAGCUGUCACCGGCCGCACCUUGGUGUUGUAGCAAGAUCAUUCCCAACUCCCCUGGAAAUGCGUGGGCAAGGUAGGGCUGCGGCUGCUGACUCCCGACGGCUCCCCGGGGACCAGAGAUUUGCAUUGACGUCCAGAGAUAGCCUUAGUCCUCAGGGGCCAGAGGGGGGUCAGGCUAUGGGCUGAGAGGACCUGAUUUCCUCAGACCAAUCUUUGGGUGGGAAAGGAAGGAUGGGAGGAUUGAUCCCAGGAGGUGAGCCCACUUGGGUGGGCUUUCUAAAAGAGUUGAUAGAAGAAAGAGCUUUCUGACCUGCAUCUUCCCAUCUAAAGGAAGGAGGAUUGUGAGAGAGAAACUAGGGCAGCAGCUGUUGGCUUUGGGGGGAAGAUGGAGGUUGGGAGGGGGGAAGAACUGAAAAAGAAAUGUUUAUAGGAAUCUCCAUCUUUCACUCAAAUGGAGGUCCCAAGUUUGCAGUAGCUGUUCAGGUAAGGAAUAGGGUACCGGAGACCAAGCCUCCUCCCCCCACCAUACCAGCCGAGGAUGUCAUGAAAUCUCAGCCCGGUGGCCCAGCCGGUCCCUCCUUGUCCACCUUCGCCCCGCACAGGCCCCUCGUUCUUUAGUCAGGGCUUGGGCCACCCCAGUUCUUACGUAACUGUGUUCUACACCUUCUCCUGUCCUUUGGCAUGUCUAGCACCCCCCUUGGGGUCCAGACAUCGCAGAAGAAAAGUCCUGGCUGGGGAGAAAUUAAUGAACGAUGUCGCUAACCAGCCCCCAAAGGGUGGCGCAGUCAGCGACGCAGGAUGAAUGGGAGGGCAUCCUCUGCUUGGUCCUUGUCACCAAUGGUUUCCUGGGAGCAUCUGCCCUGGAGAUAGAGUGGUCUCAGCAUCCUUCUGUAAUGCCACUCAUUUGGGGGGAUCUUUCCAAAGGAAAAGGUAGGAUGGCUACUGGAUGCAGAAUUUUCUUUUUUUAAGAGAUGGGGGCCACUUGGGAUGGCGCAGAGUUGUUUGGCCCUCUCGGUCCAUUGCCCUGGUCCUUCCUCGGCCCCUUUUUGUUGUUUUGGUUCUCUGACUCUGGAUUCUUUACCAUGACUCCCUUUGGGGGUUUCCUCCCUCCGUGGAGUGGGCUUCUUGGGUCCUGCUGUGCCAAUUGCGCAGAACGGGCGGGGGCCGGGGGGAGGGGAGGAGGUAGAGGACCUGGGGAGCUGCGGAAACAGCAGCAGCAGAAGACGUGGUGCAGAUUGCGGCAGUGAUGGGAGCUUCUCGGAGGCAGAGCCUAGAAGGUUUUGUUGUGCCCACCCUUACCCCAAAGUCUUAGCCAGACGUGGAGAAAUACGUUUAUUGCUCUUGGUCCUGGGGCCCUGCCUGGGACUUCUGGCAUCGCUGGUUGGGGCCUCACUGAAUCAGAAGCAUUUGGGCCCCCCCUUCUCCAGACAGGGGCCUAAAGCCCUUUGGGGGGCUGGGGGUGAAGAUCUUCGAGGUGAGUGACGUAGCAUAUAACUUGAGAAGGAUCAGACCCGUGGGCUGGUAUUCCCAGCAUCACCAGUAGGGAUGGGAUGGAAAUGGGUGUUUGCUGGUGGCCAUGAUGUUUUUGGAAUGUCAGAAAUCACUGAAUCAUGGAUCUGAGCUGGAAGGAAUGUUGAAGGUCACCCCUUCUUUGGCCAGAUGGGGAAAUUGAGGCCCAAGGAGGUUAAGAUACUUCUAAAUACCAGAGCCAGGAAUCAAAGCAGGGUCCUCUAACCCUAAAUACAGCCAUGCGUUAUGGCUAGAAUUCUGGAUACCCUUUGAUUCUUUUCUUUGCACCUUCUUUAUUCCCACAUAUACCAGCCUGGAAUGGAAAACUAAGAGGUUCAUUUGGGGGUGGAGAAAAAGAAGCUAGAAUAAAGGGGAAUCUGUAAUGUGAGCA